Molecule: ribosomal RNA, 492 nt
Filed under: uncultured bacterium
Lineage: Bacteria
Description: partial 16S ribosomal RNA
Rfam family: Bacterial small subunit ribosomal RNA
Source: RNAcentral
AGUGAACGCUGGCGGUAUGCCUAACACAUGCAAGUCGAACGGCAGCACAGUAAUAGCUUGCUCUUACGGGUGGCCAGUGGCGUACGGGUGAGGUAUACAUCGUAAUCUACUUUUUCGUGGGGGAUAACGUAGGGGAACUUACGCUAAUACCGCAUACGACCUUCGGGUGAGAGCAGGGGAUCUUCUGACCUUGCGCGAUUGAAUGCGCCGAUGUCGGAUUAGCUAGUUGGCGGGGUAAAUGCCCACCAAGGCGGCGAUCCGUAGCUGGUCUGAGAGGAUGGUAAGCGACACUGGAACUGAGACACGGACAAGGCUCCUAAGGGAGGCAGCAGUGGGGAACAGUAGACAGUGGGGGCAAGCAUGAUCCAGUCAUACCGCGUGGGUGAAGAAGGCCUUCGGGUUGGAAAGCCGUCUUGUUGGGAAAGAAAAGCAGCAGGUUAAUACCACGCUGUUGUGACGGUACCCAAAGAAGAAGCACCGGCUAACUUCGUG